RNAcentral lists this ribosomal RNA (120 nucleotides) under uncultured bacterium. RNAcentral describes it as "partial 16S ribosomal RNA". It matches the Rfam family "Bacterial small subunit ribosomal RNA", at positions 215 to 334 of the family's 1533-position model. The record is from RNAcentral.
UCACUAUUGGAGGAGCCUGCGUUGGAUUAGCUUGUUGGUGAGGUAAUGGCUCACCAAGGCGACGAUCCAUAGCUGGUCUGAGAGGACGAUCAGCCACACCGGAACUGAGACACGGUCCGG